RNAcentral lists this ribosomal RNA (372 nucleotides) under uncultured organism. RNAcentral's name for it is "bacterial SSU rRNA". It matches the Rfam family "Bacterial small subunit ribosomal RNA", at positions 526 to 896 of the family's 1533-position model. The record is from RNAcentral.
CAGAGGGUGCGAGCGUUGUUCGGAAUCACUGGGCGUAAAGCGCGCGCAGGCGGGCGUGUAAGUCAGAAGUGAAAUUCCGGGGCUCAACCCCGGAGCUGCUUCUGAUACUGCAGGUCUGGAGACCGGUAGAGGCUGGUGGAAUUCCCGGUGUAGCGGUGGAAUGCGUAGAGAUCGGGAAGAACACCCGUGGCGAAGGCGGCCAGCUGGGCCGGUUCUGACGCUGAGGCGCGAAAGCGUGGGGAGCAAACAGGAUUAGAUACCCUGGUAGUCCACGCUGUAAACGAUGGGCACUAGGUGCCGGGGGGAGCGACCCCUUCGGUGCCGCAGCUAACGCGUUAAGUGCCCCGCCUGGGGAGUACGGCCGCAAGGCUG